Molecule: unclassified non-coding RNA, 688 nt
Filed under: uncultured Sebacina
Lineage: Eukaryota; Fungi; Basidiomycota; Agaricomycetes; Sebacinales; Sebacinaceae
Description: sequence contains ITS1, 5.8S rRNA gene, ITS2
Rfam family: 5.8S ribosomal RNA (bases 186-339)
Source: RNAcentral
GGAAGGAUCAUUAGUGAUUUUGACUGUUACCUUCAGUGCUGGCUGGUCUCCAGCAAGUGCACGUCGGUGACUUUCAUCCAAAUACCCCUGUGCACCUUUGGCCUCUUGCUGGCUUCGGCUGGCAGAGGAUUUUACACCAACUCGAAUGUAAUGAAAACUACUGUUGUGCGCAAGCACUAAUGUACAACUUUCAACAACGGAUCUCUUGGCUCUCGCAUCGAUGAAGAACGCAGCGAAAUGCGAUAAGUAAUGUGAAUUGCAGAAUUCAGUGAAUCAUCGAAUCUUUGAACGCACCUUGCACCCUUUGGUAUUCCGAAGGGUAUGCUCGUUUGAGUGUCAUUGUACUCUCACACUCUCCGAUCCUUUGGAUUGGGAGUGGUGGACUUGGGUGUUGCUGCUGCCCGGUGGCUCACCUCAAAUGCAUUAGUGCAACUCCUGGUUGGACAUAGUACGGCGUGAUAAGUAUCUUCGCCGGCGCCUUGAAAGAGGGUGGCCGAUUGGGAGCUCUGUGCUUCAUUAACUGUCUUCGGACAAUGUCUGACAACUUGACCUCAAAUCGAGUAGGACUACCCGCUGAACUUAAGCAUAUCAAUAAGCGGGAGGAAAAGAAACUAACAAGGAUUCCCCCUAGUAACGGCGAGUGAAGAGGGGAAGAGCUCAAAUUUUGAAUCUGGCGUCUCUGGCGUCC